UACGUAGGUGGCUAGCGUUACUCGGAUUUACUAGGUGUAAAACGUGGGUAGGUGGUCUGAUAAGUUAAAGGUGAAAUUUACGAUUAAAAUUGUAAGCGUCUUUUAAUACUGUCAGGCUUGAGUAUAAAAUGGGGAAUCGGAAUUCCAGGUGUAGCGGUGAAAUGCGUAGAUAUCUGGAGGAAUGCCGAUGGCGAAGGCGGGUUCCUGGUUUAUUACUGACACUGAGCCACGAAAGCCGGGGGAGC
Molecule: ribosomal RNA, 245 nt
Filed under: uncultured bacterium
Lineage: Bacteria
Description: partial 16S ribosomal RNA
Rfam family: Bacterial small subunit ribosomal RNA
Source: RNAcentral